GGAGACUGUCGCGAUGAUUGUUGGUCGGUUGCGGAGCUUGCAACACGAGCUGGUAGCGCCAGCGUUGGCGAGAGAGUGAGGUGUCCCCAGUGCAGUAGGCGGGGGAAAGCUUAAGGCGACCAGUGCCCUCCGGUCCUCGUCGCUGCACGUCGAGGUCAAGUCUGAGGCUGCAAGCUGAUGCAUCCACAGACAUCAUUGUCGACUGCAUCUUCAACCUCCGGAUGCCGCUUCCGUACACUGCUUCGUCAACCUCAGCCGUGACCCUUCCUCCCGGUCGCCGUGUUUAAUAUCCUAUUCGUCGGCCGCCUAUCUCGAGCACCGCGAGCGAAGGUGGAUGCCCUGACUGCCAAUCACCAAGGUGAGCUCCAAUUUUUGUUGAUGUGCAGUUUGUUUGUCGGACGCCACCUAAGCUAUGAAGUUCUACACAAUGUGAACUGUUUGUUGUGAGCUCUGUAGUGUUGUGUCCUUUAAAAGUGGGCAUGUUAGGCUUGUUGUAGACAGUGCUAUGCUUGUUGCUAGUGAUUGAUUGCUAGAUGUGCUAUGAUUGUUACAGACAGUGGGAAUGGUAAGUACUGACGAAUUUUGAUUCAGUUGGUUAGUUACUAUAAGCAAGAACACGCUAUAAGCGCCAAAAUGCUAGAGAGAAAAGUUCAAGAGCCAAGAACACAACAGGGUCGUUGACUUGGUAAGCCUCUUUGAUGUAAUAAAUUGGUGUUGGU
Molecule: long non-coding RNA, 719 nt
Filed under: Triticum aestivum (bread wheat)
Lineage: Eukaryota; Viridiplantae; Streptophyta; Magnoliopsida; Poales; Poaceae
Description: long non-coding RNA (TAES_LNC014096)
Source: RNAcentral